GACGAACGCUGGCGGCGUGCUUAACACAUGCAAGUCGAACGGAAAGGCCCUGCUUUUGUGGGGUGCUCGAGUGGCGAACGGGUGAGUAACACGUGAGUAACCUGCCCUUGACUUUGGGAUAACUUCAGGAAACUGGGGCUAAUACCGGAUAGGAGCUCCUGCUGCAUGGUGGGGGUUGGAAAGUUUCGGCGGUUGGGGAUGGACUCGCGGCUUAUCAGCUUGUUGGUGGGGUAGUGGCUUACCAAGGCUUUGACGGGUAGCCGGCCUGAGAGGGUGACCGGCCACACUGGGACUGAGAUACGGCCCAGACUCCUACGGGAGGCAGCAGUGGGGAAUAUUGCACAAUGGGCGGAAGCCUGAUGCAGCAACGCCGCGUGCGGGAUGACGGCCUUCGGGUUGUAACCGCUUUCGCCUGUGACGAAGCGUGAGUGACGGUAAUGGGUAAAGAAGCACCGGCUAACUACGUG
RNAcentral lists this ribosomal RNA (467 nucleotides) under uncultured bacterium. RNAcentral describes it as "partial 16S ribosomal RNA". It matches the Rfam family "Bacterial small subunit ribosomal RNA", at positions 28 to 507 of the family's 1533-position model. The record is from RNAcentral.